RNAcentral lists this ribosomal RNA (253 nucleotides) under uncultured bacterium. Its description in RNAcentral is "partial 16S ribosomal RNA". It matches the Rfam family "Bacterial small subunit ribosomal RNA", at positions 524 to 776 of the family's 1533-position model. The record is from RNAcentral.
UACGAAGGAGGCAAGCGUUAUCCGGAAUUAUUGGGCGUAAAGCGUCCGCAGGCGGUUGGACAAGUCUGUCGUUAAAGCGUGAGGCUUAACCUCAUAAAGGCGAUGGAAACUGUUUGACUAGAGUGCAGUAGGGGUAGCGGGAACUCCCGGUGUAGCGGUGAAAUGCGUAGAUAUCGGGAAGAACACCAGAGGCGAAGGCGCGCUACUGGGCUGUAACUGACGCUCAUGGACGAAAGCUAGGGGAGCGAAAGGG